AGUUUGAUCAUGGCUCAGAUUGAACGCUGGCGGCAUGCUUUACACAUGCAAGUCGAACGGUAACAGGCCUUCGGGUGCUGACGAGUGGCGAACGGGUGAGUAAUGCAUCGGAACGUGCCCAAUCGGUGGGGGAUAACGUAGCGAAAGUUACGCUAAUACCGCAUAAGCCCUGAGGGGGAAAGUGGGGGACCGCAAGGCCUCACGCGAAUGGAGCGGCCGAUGUCAGAUUAGCUAGUUGGUGGGGUAAAGGCCCACCAAGGCGACGAUCUGUAGCGGGUCUGAGAGGAUGAUCCGCCACACUGGAACUGAGACACGGUCCAGACUCCUACGGGAGGCAGCAGUGGGGAAUUUUUCGCAAUGGGCGCAAGCCUGACGAAGCAACGCCGCGUGGAGGAUGAAGGUCUUCGGAUUGUAAACUCCUGUCGACCGGGACGAAUGCACUCGACCUAAUACGUCGGAAUGUUGACGGUACCGGUGGAGGAAGCCACGGCUAACUCUGUG
This 501-nucleotide ribosomal RNA is filed under the name uncultured bacterium. Its description in RNAcentral is "bacterial SSU rRNA". It matches the Rfam family "Bacterial small subunit ribosomal RNA", at positions 10 to 507 of the family's 1533-position model. The record is from RNAcentral.